GAUAUAUUCGUGCUGAUCCACUUGAACUUGCACACCACAAUCUUGAUGACGAUCACCACUUGACGUCAUCCUUCAUGGGUUGUAUGAGAUCUUCCUUUUGACGCAAGCCCAAUGGAAACACACCUAACCCCCACAUAGGAGUCUCACAAAGACCAUGGGUUAGUACACAAACACGUAAUGGACAAUGCUUACCAUACCAUGGGAUCACUUGAUCCCUCUCGGUACAUAUUAUACGCUUUGUGUGUUGAUCAUCUUGAUUUACUCUUUGUCUGAGAUCUUGAUCAACCUAGUGUUUCUAUGACCAUUCUUU
Molecule: long non-coding RNA, 310 nt
Filed under: Hordeum vulgare
Lineage: Eukaryota; Viridiplantae; Streptophyta; Magnoliopsida; Poales; Poaceae
Description: long non-coding RNA (HVUL_LNC019668)
Source: RNAcentral